GACGAACGCUGGCGGCGUGCCUAACACAUGCAAGUCGAACGGAAAGGCCCUGCUUGUGCGGGGUGCUCGAGUGGCGAACGGGUGAGUAACACGUGAGUAACCUGCCCUGGACUUUGUGAUAACUUCAGGCGACUGGGGCUAAUACCGGAUAGGAGCGCCUGCUGCAGGGUGGGGGUCGGAAAGUUUGGGCGGUUGGGGCUGGACGCGCGGGUUACCAGCUGGUUGGUGGGGUAGUGGCUUACCAAGUCAUAGACGGGUAGCCGGCCUGGGAGGGUGGCCGGCGACAAUGGUACUGCGAGACGGCGCAGACGCCUACGUUGGGCAGCGGUGGAGAGCAUUACACAAUGGUCGCAAGCCUGAUGCGGCGGUGCCGCGUGCGGGAUGCCGGCCUUCGGGUUGUAAACCGCUUUCGCCUGUGACGAUGCGGGAUUGACGUUACUGACUGAAGAAGCACCGGCUAACUACGUG
Molecule: ribosomal RNA, 468 nt
Filed under: uncultured bacterium
Lineage: Bacteria
Description: partial 16S ribosomal RNA
Rfam family: Bacterial small subunit ribosomal RNA
Source: RNAcentral